Non-coding RNA from Chlorocebus sabaeus (green monkey), 3884 nucleotides. The record is from RefSeq and is a predicted model, not a curated record. NCBI's taxonomy places the organism in Eukaryota, Metazoa, Chordata, Mammalia, Primates, Cercopithecidae.
CGGGCUUACGCCUUCCCAGCGCCCUUUGCCGCCUCUCGGGAGGCCCCGCACGGACCCCAGCCUGGCUGGGCCGUCCCCUCCGGAUGGGCCGGCGGGCGGAGCAGCGCAGAGGGCACCGCCCUCGGCCCGCCCGCCGAGGAGGGGACGCGAGCGGGAGGCUGCGCCAGCGGCGCCCGCCGGGGGCCCGCCGCACUCUGCUCUCGGCCUCCCGAGCUGCGGGGACGGGACGGCUACCUGCGCUGACUCUGCGGGCCGGGAGCCGAGUCCGGGACAGAGCCGGAGCCGCUGAGGGAGGCGAGAGGGCAGUGCGCGGAGAUGGCGGCCGCGGCGGCGGAGGAAGGGAUGGAGCCGCGGGCGCUGCAGUACGAGCAGACCCUGAUGUAUGGCCGGUACACUCAGGACCUUGGGGCCUUUGCCAAAGAGGAAGCUGCUCGGAUUCGCCUGGGAGGGCCUGAACCCUGGAAAGGUCCCCCUUCCCCUCGGGCUGCCCCAGAGCUCUUGGAAUAUGGACGGAGCCGUUGUGCCCGAUGCCGCAUCUGUUCUGUCCGCUGCCACAAAUUCCUAGUAUCCAGGGUUGGUGAAGAUUGGAUCUUCCUGGUCCUGCUGGGGCUCCUCAUGGCAUUGGUCAGCUGGGCCAUGGACUAUGCCAUUGCUGCCUGUCUGCAAGCCCAGCAGUGGAUGUCCCGGGGUUUGAACACUAGCAUCUUACUCCAGUACCUGGCCUGGGUCACCUACCCUGUUGUCCUCAUCACUUUCUCAGCCGGAUUCACACAGAUCCUGGCCCCUCAGGCUGUCGGCUCUGGCAUCCCUGAGAUGAAGACCAUCUUGCGGGGGGUGGUGCUGAAAGAAUACCUCACACUCAAGACCUUUAUAGCUAAGGUCAUUGGGCUGACCUGCGCCCUGGGCAGCGGAAUGCCGCUUGGCAAAGAGGGCCCUUUUGUGCAUAUCGCAAGCAUGUGUGCUGCCCUUCUCAGCAAGUUCCUCUCCCUCUUUGGGGGUAUCUAUGAGAAUGAAUCCCGGAACACAGAGAUGCUGGCUGCCGCCUGUGCCGUGGGGGUGGGCUGCUGCUUUGCGGCACCUAUUGGAGGCGUCCUCUUCAGCAUCGAGGUCACCUCCACCUUCUUCGCGGUACGGAACUACUGGCGGGGCUUCUUCGCUGCCACCUUCAGCGCCUUCAUCUUCCGGGUCUUGGCAGUCUGGAACCGGGAUGAAGAGACUAUUACGGCCCUCUUCAAAACCCGAUUCCGGCUCGACUUCCCCUUUGACCUGCAGGAGCUGCCAGCCUUUGCUGUCAUUGGUAUUGCUAGUGGCUUCGGUGGAGCCCUCUUUGUCUACCUGAACCGGAAGAUUGUCCAGGUGAUGCGGAAGCAGAAAACCAUCAAUCGCUUCCUCAUGAGGAAACGCCUGCUCUUCCCGGCUCUGGUGACGCUGCUCAUCUCCACGCUGACCUUCCCCCCUGGCUUUGGACAGUUCAUGGCUGGACAGCUCUCACAGAAAGAGACGCUGGUCACCCUGUUUGACAAUCGGACGUGGGUCCACCAGGGCCUGGUGGAGGAGCUAGAACUACCCAGCACCUCACAGGCCUGGAACCCACCACGUGCCAACGUCUUCCUCACCCUGGUCAUCUUCAUUCUCAUGAAGUUCUGGAUGUCUGCACUGGCCACCACCAUCCCAGUUCCCUGUGGCGCCUUCAUGCCUGUCUUUGUCAUUGGAGCAGCAUUUGGGCGUCUGGUGGGCGAAAGCAUGGCCGCCUGGUUCCCAGAUGGAAUUCAUACAGACAGCAGCACCUACCGGAUUGUGCCUGGGGGCUACGCUGUGGUUGGGGCGGCUGCGUUGGCAGGAGCGGUGACACACACAGUGUCCACGGCUGUGAUCGUGUUCGAGCUCACAGGCCAGAUUGCCCAUAUCCUGCCUGUCAUGAUCGCCGUCAUCCUGGCUAACGCUGUCGCCCAGAGUCUACAGCCCUCCCUCUAUGACAGCAUCAUCCGAAUCAAGAAACUGCCCUACCUGCCUGAGCUGGGCUGGGGCCGCCACCAGCAGUACCGGGUGCGUGUGGAGGACAUCAUGGUGCGGGAUGUUCCCCAUGUGGCCCUCAGCUGCACCUUCCGGGACCUGCGGUUGGCACUGCACAGGACCAAGGGCCGAAUGCUGGCCCUAGUGGAGUCCCCUGAGUCCAUGAUUCUGCUGGGUUCCAUCGAGCGUUCACAGGUGGUGGCAUUGCUGGGGGCCCAGCUGAGCCCAGCCCGCCGGCGGCAGCACAUGCAGGAGCGCAGAGCCACCCAGACCUCUCCACCACCUGAUCAGGAGGGUCUCCCUAGCCCUGAGGCUUCUGUCUGCUUCCAGGUGAACACAGAAGACUCAGGCUUCCCGGCAGCCCGGGGGGAGACCCACAAGCCCCUAAAGCCUGCACUCAAGAGGGGGCCCAGUGUCACCAGGAACCUUGGAGAGAGUCCCACAGGAAGCGCGGAGUCGGCAGGCAUCGCCCUCCGGAGCCUCUUCUGUGGCAGUCCACCCCCUGAAGCUGCUUCAGAGAAGUUGGAAUCCUGUGAGAAGCGCAAGCUGAAGCGGGUCCGAAUCUCCCUGGCAAGUGACGCGGACCUGGAAGGCGAGAUGAGCCCUGAAGAGAUUCUGGAGUGGGAGGAGCAACAACUAGAUGAACCUGUCAACUUCAGUGACUGCAAAAUUGAUCCUGCUCCCUUCCAGCUGGUGGAGCGGACCUCUUUGCACAAGUGUGAUGAAAAGUGACUGGGGCUGCACAGCCACUCCUGAUGACCUGCCCGGAACAAGUCACUUCACUGUUGAGCCCCAUGCUGCUUCUCCUAAUGCUUAGUUCUCAGGACAGUACUGGAAUUAAAUGAUAAUGAAGAUCUAGCAUGGAGCCUGGCCAAUCACUAGAUUUCACAUGUGAAGAGUUGUUCUGUCCUGCAUCCCCCUUUCUAACAUGAGACUAAGAAUUCUUCCCCCAUCCUAUUUCUCCGUCAAUAUAAGCAACAUAAGGAUUUUGAGUAUCAAGUUUCUGAGGCCUGGACACAGAAACAUUCUAUUAUUACUAUUGUCAUUAUUUUCCCUCCAGCAGUCCUGUCUCCUUCCCUCCCAAUCUGUGGCACCCCUUCUAUUCCACACCAACCUUGUCCUGGGCCCCUGUGGCCUGUCAUUUAGAGCUGCCCAUUGUCCAUCAAGUCCAAUCUCUUUUCUUCCCACACUGCAGACUCACACCAUCUUCUCACUGCUGGGAGUGGACCAUGCUUAUGUCACCAGUAUUGGCAGACUCAUUGGAAUCGUUACUCUAAAGGAGCUCCGGAAGGCUAUCGAGGGCUCUGUCACAGCACAGGGUGUGAAAGUUCGGCCGCCCCUCGCCAGCUUCCGAGACAGUGCCACCAGCAGCAGUGACACGGAGACCACUGAGGUGCAUGCACUCUGGGGACCCCACUCCCGUCAUGGCCUCCCCCGGGAGGGCAGCCCUUCCGACAGCGAUGACAAAUGCCAAUGAGCCCCUCGUGGGUGGCCUAGGAUGGUGCUAGCCAUGCCCGUCAUCCCAGAAUGUGCAUCUCUCAUUCCUUCUGCCUUGGGAAGGCAGGAGGCAGCUACAGCCGGAGGCUAUACCCCAGCCCCCUCCAGACCUGGGGUGCCAGCUUCUCCCAGUUUAUCCUACCUGGAAUCUGACCCACUGCCCACCUACAGCAACUUUUCCAGGGGCAGGAAGAUCAGCCCUGCCCUGGCAGGAUGAGGUUGGGGUCACUUGACCCCUGCUCCCCCUUUGAGGGGAAAGGGGUGGAACUAAGAUGGGUUUAUAACUGGAACUUCAAUGACCAGAUGUAUAUAGAGAUUUACAAAGAUUUUUAUAUUAAUUUAAUAAAACAAAUUCUUAAAUAGAACAAAAUAAA